GAUCAUGGCUCAGGAUGAACGCUAGCGACAGGCUUAACACAUGCAAGUCGAGGGGCAGCACGGGAGUAGCAAUACAACGUGGUGGCGACCGGCGCACGGGUGAGUAACGCGUAUGCAACCUACCUAUCAGAGGGGAAUAACCCGGCGAAAGUCGGACUAAUACCGCAUAAAACAGGGGCACCGCAUGGUGAUAUUUGUUAAAGAAAUUCGCUGAUAGAUGGGCAUGCGUUCCAUUAGGUAGUUGGUGAGGUAACGGCUCACCAGGCCGACGAUGGAUAGGGGAACUGAGAGGUUGGUCCCCCACACUGGUACUGAGACACGGACCAGACUCCUACGGGAGGCAGCAGUGAGGAAUAUUGGUCAAUGGGCGGGAGCCUGAACCAGCCAAGUCGCGUGAAGGAAAGAAGGAUCUAUGGUUCGUAAACUUCUUUUGCAGGGGAAUAAAGUGCAGGACGUGUCCUGUUUUGUAUGUACCCUGAGAAUAAGGAUCGGCUAACUCCGUGCCAGCAGCAGC
Molecule: ribosomal RNA, 514 nt
Filed under: uncultured bacterium
Lineage: Bacteria
Description: bacterial SSU rRNA
Rfam family: Bacterial small subunit ribosomal RNA
Source: RNAcentral